This 375-nucleotide ribosomal RNA is filed under the name uncultured organism. Its description in RNAcentral is "partial 16S ribosomal RNA". It matches the Rfam family "Bacterial small subunit ribosomal RNA", at positions 527 to 896 of the family's 1533-position model. The record is from RNAcentral.
GGAGGUGGCAAGCGUUGUUCGGAAUUACUGGGCGUAAAGGGCGCGUAGGCGGGGAGGCAAGUCGGGUGUGAAAUCCCUCGGCCCAACCGAGGAACGGCGCUCGAAACUGCUUCUCUUGAGUCCCGGAGAGGAAGGUGGAAUUCCCGGUGUAGCGGUGAAAUGUGUAGAGAUCGGGAGGAACACCGGUGGCGAAGGCGGCCUUCUGGACGGUGACUGACGCUGAGGCGCGAAAGCGUGGGUAGCAAACGGGAUUAGAUACCCCGGUAGUCCACGCUGUAAACGAUGGGUGCUAGGUGUGGGGGUAUUGACCCCCUCCGUGCCCGAAGCUAACGCAUUAAGCACCCCCCCCGCCUGGGGAGUACGGCCGCAAGGUUG